UGAGCAAUCUGCCCCUGACUCUGGGAUAACAGUUGGAAACAGCUGCUAAUACCGGAUACGAGACGUGACCGCAUGGUCAACGUUUGGAAAGAACUUCGGUCAGGGAUGAGCUCGCGGCCUAUCAGCUAGUUGGUGAGGUAAUGGCUCACCAAGGCGUCGACGGGUAGCCGGCCUGAGAGGGUGACCGGCCACACUGGGACUGAGACACGGCCCAGACCUCCGUAGGGAGG
RNAcentral lists this ribosomal RNA (230 nucleotides) under uncultured bacterium. RNAcentral's name for it is "partial 16S ribosomal RNA". It matches the Rfam family "Bacterial small subunit ribosomal RNA", at positions 118 to 347 of the family's 1533-position model. The record is from RNAcentral.